UACGUAGGCGGAAUAUUAAGUCAGUGGUGAAAUCCUGCGGCUCAACCGUAGAACUGCCAUUGAUACUGAUAUUCUUGAAUAUAGUUGAGGUAGGCGGAAUGUGUAAUGUAGCGGUGAAAUGCUUAGAUAUUACACAGAACACCGAUUGCGAAGGCAGCUUACUAAACUAUUAUUGACGCUGAGGUACGAAAGCGUGGGGAGCGAACAGGAUUAGAUACCCUGGUAGUC
This 228-nucleotide ribosomal RNA is filed under the name uncultured bacterium. Its description in RNAcentral is "partial 16S ribosomal RNA". It matches the Rfam family "Bacterial small subunit ribosomal RNA", at positions 568 to 795 of the family's 1533-position model. The record is from RNAcentral.